RNAcentral lists this long non-coding RNA (17309 nucleotides) under Vigna radiata. RNAcentral describes it as "long non-coding RNA (VRAD_LNC010706)". Lineage: Eukaryota; Viridiplantae; Streptophyta; Magnoliopsida; Fabales; Fabaceae. The record is from RNAcentral.
UGUCUUGUAUGUUUUUUCCUUCUUCUUCUUCACUGCAUCUCCGCGAAAACCUAUUCCUCUUUGUAAAGGGGUAUGCUUUUGGGUGUGGAGUUUUGUUGGGUUGGUAUUUUAGGGUCUAGGAUUCUGUUUGAUUAUUUUUUUUUUUUUCAUUUGGAGUUGUGUUGGAAUAUGGGUCGUGGGUUUUCUCGACAAUUUUGGGUUCUGUUUGUGGUGCUGUUUGGGUGUGGAGUUUUCUUGGGUCGGUAUUUGUUGUGCCAGAGUACAUCUCCAUUGUGUUUCUGGGUUUAGUUGUUGGUAUUUAAAUUUUUAAGUGCUUAGAAGUUUUUUUUUUUUUUUUGUUAAGUGCUUAACUCAUGUCCUUUGUUUUCAGUUGGAGAAUGUUGGGAUGAAAAUUUUUGCAAUAGAAUCACUUGAUUUUGAUUCCGUCUAACUUAUUAUAUACUAUCUAUUACUGGAACUGCUAUGUAGGAAAUGAAUUCUUUAAGCAGCAGAAGUAUCCCGAGGCAUACAAAGAAAACCGAAAGAUCCUAGGAUAUUAAAUCUAUUUGAAUAUAAUUGAUAAUACUUAUAUUUAAUGGAAAAUGCUGGUCUUUAUCUGUCUAAACUCUUCAAUGCUUUCAAGCUCUAUAGUAACAGAGCAGCAUGAUAUACUAAGCUGAAGGUUUAAAGGAUGUAUUGAAUAAUGGCAAAGCACGAUAUACCAACGGGUCUAAGUUUAAUGUACAGAAUAGUGGUAAUGUAUAUAAUUGCAGAAUUUUUUUUGUUUUUGGAUUUUGGUUCUUUGUUUAUUUCAUUUUGUGUUACUUGCUGUUUUGAUCUUUUUGUGUUGAUUCUAUUCCCCUGUGAUAUGUUAUGUCUAAUAACAUAAACAUAUAAUGUUGGGUUUUUUGUUUUGGUACCCUUCAUUGGCAUUCUAUAUGGUUUGGGCUCCUUUAAGAAGAAGGGACAAAAGCAAAUAAGGUGUAUGAUCUGAUGUGUUUUCACAAGAUAACGUGUUAAUUGAAAGUUUAAUAAGCUGUGAUGUUUUGAUUCCGUAUAAGAUUUGAAUAUUGUACUUUGUUUCUAAAACUUCCAAUAAACAAGAGAAAAUAAUCACAAACCCCAAAAUUUUCCUGUCAAAGUCUAUACUAAAAUUGAUCCAAAAUAAAUACAAUGGUGUCAAAGAAAGACAACGAACAAAAAUAAAUACGUUUAAGGGAUAAAAAAUAUAACCAAGUUUAAUUUAUCAUUUUUGGAUAUAACAAAAUAGUAAAUUAUUCUAAAUUUUUUAGAAUUUAAUAUUUCUUUAAACUUUUUAUUUAUAUAAUAUAAUUUGUCGUACAGUAUUUUUAAUUUUAUAUAAAAAUAAAUUAUGCUCUAAAUUUUUUAUUUUUUUUCCUUUCAAAUGAACACAUGAAAAAAAAAGUGUAUCACAACUUGAAAAUACAACUAAAAACUAGUAGAUUAGAAAACCCUUUUUCUCAGUUUGGUAAGGAUAAAAAUAAUAAUUUGAUAUUAAGUGUAAUCAAUUUUUUUUCUAACAUUCCAAGAAUGAGAAGUUAAUACAUCUUUACUUGAAAUCAUUUUCCUUUUUUUUUUAAAAAAAAAGUCAGUUAUUUUUAGGGGAAGUGAAUUAAAAUUACGUCUGAUUUCAUUUUAUUUUUUUAAGUUGUUGGAAAAUUAAAAAAAUAAAUGCAUGUACAUUAUUUUUUUAAAAAAAAAACAAACAAACAAACAGGGAUUCUUUUUUAUGAAAAAGUUACAAUAAACUGUCCUGUGUCUCCCUCUGAUAUUCUAAUGUUUUUGUUAAGAAUCAGAGCUUGUUUUCUCAAGAUUUCUUCACUCCUCUGAUUUUUUUCCCCCAUACCUUUUUCUUUUUGUCACAUUUUUUUGUUUCGCUCUCCAUUUUUAGAACCAUUUUUCAAAUUUUAGUCACUUCUGUAUACAAGGGGCUUAAUCAUUAUUUUAACAUGGAUUACAAGCUAUAUCACAGUAGAAAAUAUUUUAUAAAAUGGACAACCUAUUUUUUCUAUCUAAUCUAUAAACAGCACAAAGGAGUAUAGUUUAUGAUAACAUACUAUGUUCUAGUUUAACACAUAAAUCAAACAUGAAAAACUAAAGCACCCAGCAAACUUAGUCAAAAUGGAGAACCCCACGCAUAUAAUAGUGUCCAAAAUAUAAACAAUUAAUAGCAUGGGAUCGCAAAUACAAACCUAAAAUAAACUAUUAAAAAAUUCACCAUCAAAUAAUAAUUAUGGUUAUAUUAACAUUUCCGACUUCUAUUUGAAUUGGCAUUUUGAACAAAAACUUAGGUAGCUAUUACAGUUUGACAGCAAGACUUAUUGACAGAGUUCCAAAACAAGAAGUUUGUAGGUAUAGACAAAGAGGAAGAAAAUGGAAAAAAGAAAGGUAAAAGAAAAAAAAAAUGGAGCAAACUCAAUCGAAUAUUUCCCAAGUGGUGGAAGAUGGAAUAUGAUCAAAGGUCUCCCACUUGGUUGUGACUACAACAGGCUUUAUUCUGGCAUUAGAUACCUUAAGUUCAUCCAGGGUUUCUACACAUUUUUGCACUCUCUUUCCCUGAAAAAGCAAAUAGUAGAUUAUUCUCUGUGACUUACCAAUUCAACUUUUGCAUAGUCCAAACACUGUAGAUUUCCUGUCUAACAAUAUUUUCCACGGUAAAGGUACUCUAAAAUAAACAAAGCAACUUUUCCUUAAUUGUUUGCUUUCCUUACCUAAAGUAUUAUAGGAAGUGUUAAUGUUCUUUAAUCAUACUUUUAAUUUCACGUUGGUAUAUAAUAUACAAUUAUUAAAUAAAAUGCAUAUUAUCAAGAUAAGAUUGUAAAUAUGAUCAGAAAACGACAUAAUAGCAACCAUGAAGCUGCAUGUAAGUUUUGUCUUUAAUUUUAUGACAAGAUUAAAGAAAUGAUUAUGUUAUUUAAAGAUGUUUUUCACCCACAUGACCAUACCAUGAUAUUUAGACGAAUUACCAUUCAAAUGAAACCAAACAAACACCAAAACAAGUAUAGGUGAGAGAAAUUGGCACUAUAUUGAAAAUACCUGCAAAUGUUUCUGUGCAGAAGCAUCGCCUUCUGCAGUAAUGCUUUCUAAUUUGAUUGCUUGUCUCAUAAGCAUCUCGAUUAGUGUUGUAAUUUGAACUUCCGGUACUUUGACUCCGUUGGAAAUAGACUUUUCAAUGGCAGAGACCUACAUCAGAAAGAAAAUGUAUAUUGUAUGUUAUGUUCGGACAAAAUUUCGGGUGCUUACUACUUAUAUCAAGCAAUAUGUUUCAGAUACGGAUUCAAACUUAGGCGUGAAAGGAAUAGUAUUGUUGAAGCUGAUGGUUGUUUGAGUUUACGUUGAAGGAUAUAUCAUAUAAACAUUGAUGAAGUUAAUUGAGAUAGAGUUUAUGUCUAAAAUGUUCAUGAUUAUAACCUUAACAGCUAUAAAUAACACAUACGCAUAUAAAAAAAAUCAACCAAAAUCAACCAGUCACAUUUGGCUAAUUAUCAUUGAAAUACAUUUAUAAAAAAGAAAUGAAGUUUGAGACGCCACAUAAUAUAACUACACAAUAUGAUGUCAUAUUCACUCAAAUUGUAACACAGACUUGGUCCAUGUAGCACAGAGCUAAGAGGUUAGGUUACUAUUAUUAUUAUUACUGAUGGGGUUUGUAUGUUUGUGCAUUUCCUUCAGUAUGCUAAAAUACAGACCCAGGAUUCCAGUUACAGCUGUUUUGACAAAGACAAUUAAUGUAUCACUUUCAUCUUUUUUCUGAGCAAAAACAAUGUAUCACUCACUACUUAUGACACUAUCCCACCGGCUACCAAGGAAAACUGUCAUGCAAUACACUCAUUGACCCACCGUCAAUUCUACCUUAAUCAUUGACAGAGGACAAAAAUAAAAGAAAAGAAGGAGAAAAAUCGGAUGAUAAAUGAAUAGCGAUAUAGAUUAUUUGAUGAAAAAGAGAAAAAACUAUAAGAAAAUGAAGAUUUUAUUUUAAAAAAUAAAAUAAACAGAUAAUCAUGUGUUUUUACUUUUAAACAAAAUCCUUCUAUUCUAUACUAUACUUGGUAACACAAAUCAUGUUCGGUGUGUCUUCUUUAACUUUUCAAAAAAAAAAAAUUCAUUUUUUUAUGACAAGAUUUUUUAACCCAUCUCGAUUUCCAAAUUUUUCAUUCAUUUGCUACUUUUUUCUCUCUCUUGUUUUUUCAUCUCUCCCUUUUUCCUUCUCAUCCACACUGGACGGAAAAGAAUAGCCACCGACAUGCAUACACGGUAAUAAGAAUACAACCAUUUACUUUUAACAUUUUUACAGUAACUAUACAUUGAACUGUUGUGAAGUUAUUCGAAACAUUGAAUUGGUAGGAUGUGAAAAUGAUUCAGAUACCUGGUCUGCAAGCUGAUCAAGGUGGAGUGCAAUAGUGUUGAUUGCGCGAUGUGCGUUUUGGAUCUUAGCGUUGAUACGCAUCUGGAUGAAGCGUCGUUCGAUGCUGGAAGGGUCUUGGAUCAACACCACUUUUGAUCUGUCUUUCACUCCGCACGCGUCCAAAUACUCUCCGUUUUGUCGCUCUUUGCCUCUGUACACCACUUUCUGUUCAUCCACCUGUAACCCCGUUUCCCCACUCAGCACCUUCUUCACUUCCCCUGUCAUUUCAUUUCAUGUCACAUCAUUUUCACACUAUACCCUCCUCCCACUUCAAUUAUCAUCAAAUCAGACCCAUCUCCACAUGUUUCCUCUCAGACAUCCAAUAUUAUUAUAUUCUUUAAUUUUCGUUUGCAUUUUCUGAAUUAAUAAUUUAUUAAAAUUAUGCUUUUUAACAUAAAAGAAAUAAAUAAUGGUUGUAUUUAUUAUAGUAUAAAGGCAAAACACUCGUAUGUUCUUAAAAUCUUUUACACAAAUCCACGCAAUUAAAAAGAUCAAUUAUACUUAUUCUAAUUAAAUCUUUAAAUUUAAUUAUUUAAUGUUACUUUGAUUCUUCUGCGUUAAGUAAUAUUAUUUUUACGUUAUUCUUAAAAGACAAUCAAACUGUUUGAAAAUUAUAUUAACAUCGUGUUUUGCUUGUUCCCAACAUAAAAAUUUGAUAAUACACAAAGACUAAACUCUUCAUUCUAUAUCUUAAUUAGAAUUUUCAAAGAAAAUUGAGCAAAAAAACUAGCAGACAAUGCCAUGAUACGUGGGCACGUAGCAUCAGCACCACCGAUGGAUUCAUAAUUCUGCAUUGAAACAGCCACCUAACUCAAUUUCAACAACAUUACUCUUCGCAGUGGUAUUUUUCUCAUUGACUAGGCAGAGCAAAAUAAAAUUAACAAUGGAAGUUUAGAUCCAGAACUCGUCUUACCGAAAGUGGCCAUCGAACUGACGCAGAUCUCGUAACGGAGAGCACCGUAGGCGAUUCGAAGGCGCAAAUUGCGUGCUGGAGCAUCCGUUUGCACAGUCCUUUUCUGCACCAACAUUCCUCCGGGUCUCAUUUCCCACUCCGUCUCUUCUUCUCCCGCUGUCGUCGUCGUCGACGACGAAUUCUCUCUGGCGCUCGGUUUCUUCCUUAUCAUUUUGAACUCAGUUUUCCCGGGAAAAUGAAAUACAGUGGUGGUGAGUGUUUUUUCUAGGGAAAAUGUCUAACGCGUGACGAGCUGUAUUUGAAAAAACUGUGUAACCUUUGCCGACACACAAAUAGGUUGCAACUUUUGCUGGUGCCGAGAUUUUAUAUGGUAUCAGUCGAGGAGGGGGUAAACACAGAAUAUUGCGUCAUUUCUCACUAAUGCUAUUUAACUCAGAGCGUUAUUAUUACUUUAUUGUAAAUUUAAAAAAAAAAAAGGUAAUACUUAUAUACUACCAAUAAAUAAAUGUUAGCAUUGUUAUAUUUAAAUAUUCAGAUUUAAUUAACCUUUGGUCUCCGCAGUUUUAAAAGGAAACUUAAUUACGCGUUUAUCUUCCUAUCUUUUAAAUUAAGUCAGUUUAUCAUACAUUUAAUUAUCAUAAAGUUGCUGACAGAAGAAGACGCUGUUAUAUCUGACAUGAACAAUCGACGAUGAUGUACACGUUAAUAUGUUACCACUUCGUAUACUUCUGAAAAAUCUAAAAUUAAAAUACAUAAUUAACUUGUAAUUAAAAAACUAUGAAGAUAAGGUAGAUUUAAAAAGAGUAUUAUGAACAAUAUUUUCUUGUGAUCAUAUAAAAAUAUUUUAGAUUUUAGAAAAUAUAAAACCUGAGUCAUAAAAAUUGGAAGAGAGGAGACUAUGGAGUGUGGAGGGAAAUAAUGGUGGUGAUGCGAAGUAUGAGGGAGAAUGUUGGACCAAUGAGACGUAUGCCACGUGUAGGAGUGAGUUAGCUAGUGUGUAGUGACAGCUAAGCUUGCCGACAGUUGAAGGAACACGCGGAAUGAACAUGUUGCUUUUGCUUAAUGUUGAAAAGGGACACGUGGAUGGGUGGCGUUGGAUGAGGAUUUUUAAGUUCCUAUGAUUGCAGUUUGAGCGUUGUUGUGGUUGGUUUAUGAUUAAUAAUUUGGUUUUAUGUGGUUGGUUUGUGUUUGAUUAGUCUCUCGUUUUCAUAAGUAGGCAGCGAAAAUACCCAAAAAUGACAUUACUUAGGGUAUAAAUUAUGGUGGUUUUUUAAGAUAGAUGGAUAAGGUUUAACAACUUGCUGUUAAGUUAUAUUAAGAGUGAGGAUUGAAUUGCAAAAGUUGAUUAUGAUUAGGGAACUUGAACAUCCCUUUGACUAAAUCACGCUUACUUGCCAAAUGGAUCAUAGUUGUCACUGAUUAGGAUGGCUAGCUGCUGAUGUCAAAUAAUCAUAAUAAACCCUAAUAACUCAUCCAUUCAAUCAUCACUAUAUUAUUGACUUCAAAAUUCCAUAACUAAAUUAUUCACAAAUAACUUCAGGAAAGGUUGAAGAAGUUGAUGUAUAAUAAACAAAAAAUGCAAAGUUUUCACAAGAUUUACAAUUGUUUCGGUAGAUUUUUUAGGGACCGAGACACUAAUCUUUUUUUAAGUGUGGCUUUACCGUUUUUCGAUGCCUGAAUUAUUUGGAUAGUCUGUUUUCCUUCAGUCUGGAUCGCUCGCUUCUCUUUGGCCGCUCGAUGUUUUUUUUUAUGGAGGGGGGAAGUAUCUGCAAAAGGUACUCCGACGCUCAAGUUAGGAGCGAUUUGAUGAGCCUCAGUUCAUAAUUGAGUAUUUAGUGAUUUUGUUAUCACUGUAGAAUAUUUUCAGAGGAGUGGAGUGUGAGUAGAAUGUGAAUGGGGUAUGAUUAGAAGAUGAUUCGAAAGUACUGGCUUGUGGCUCUCAAACUGAUAUAAAUCCAACAAAAUAUAAACAGAAUAUAAAUAUCUUUAAUAAGAUAUUCUUGACUAUUUUAUAUUUUUAAUAAAGUAUAUCGUAACCGCUUGACCAUGAUAUCAUAAUGUCCAACAAUAUUUGCGUCCAAUUUUUUUUAUACAAGUUUUACAUCAAAGGUCAAAAAGCUUUGAUAACGAGUUUGAUUUAGUUUGGAGCUUUGGAUAUACAUGUUUCAAAUGUGAAAAAUAGUAAAAGUCAUUUAAAAAAGUUUCCACUUGAGUAUGAAUGUAGACAAAAUAAUAUAAUUUUUGAUAUUGACAGAGAAACUGUAUACUGUCCUUGAUUUUUAGUUUACAGGAGAGUCGUACGUAGGGCCAAAUUAAGGAACAGAAACAAAUUAUACAGCAAAAUUCAAACGUUUGAUGUUUUAAAAACAAUCAAUUAUGUCACCAAAAUUGACAGCUUGAUGCUACAAUGAAACAAAUUUAGUUUUCAACCACCUUAAUAAGUACCUUAACAAGUGUUAGUUAACUUGAUCCUCAUUUAAAUAUUCAUAACCAUACAAAAUUUCCCAGUGUCAGAAAAUCAAAACAACACUCUUCAUACGAAGGACUGUUCGUGGGUAGGUUCGGAAGGAUUAGGGCUAAAAGUCAAACAAUCCCAUCCAAACUUCAUACAGUAUUUGGUGCAGUUUCUUCUUGCACCUCCAUAAAUUUCUAUUUGCAUCUUCGUAUAAAUAAAAUUUUCAUUCUAUCAUUUUUUUUAAUGGUGCAAGAAAUAAAAAAAUAACUUCUAAAUUACGGAAUCUAAAACGUUUACAUAAUUUGAAAAUUACUUUGACUUUCGUGUUAUAUAAUCCAAAACGAUUUUUAAAAUUACUUCUGACAUUUUUAAGAAAAAUAAUUAUGUUUAGAUUGUACAAUCUAAUCUGAAAGGUUUUUUUUUUUUAAUUUUCAGAUUACACUAUCUAAAUCUGAAAGGGAUAAAAUGAGAAUUUUUUUUUUAUAUAUAUAAAAAUGCUGAAGGAAAGUUAUGGAAGUACAGCAUUUGGUAAUCCAUAGCUGACAGCUCUCACCUGGUUCUGCGGGUUUUCUUUGAUGUAACGGGUUAUGAAAAUGGAGGGUGUUUUGUUCUUUUUAUUAUUAAAUCAGUUUUCUCACCUUAAACUUUUAGUUUUUGCUUACCUUUAUAACAAUACUUAAAUAACAGUUGAAUGGGAUUCUAAUUUUUUAAUUAAAUCUUUUUUUUUUUAAAUUUUACUCGAUUAAGUUUUUUUUUAAUAUCGUUUAAAUAGUUAAAAUUGUCAUGUCAUCAUUUUAUUAAUAUUUUUUUUAAUUUUAAUUUUAAAAAAUAUUUUUUUCUUAAAUAUUUUUAAACGUUUAUUUAUUUUUUCAAUUUAAUCUCUAUAUUUAUCAUUUUUGUUUAAUUAAUUUAUAAUUUUCUAAAAUAAAAUAAUUUUAUUUUCUCUAAAUAGGUAUUAAAUUAAUUAUUAUAUAAAUAUUAUAUUGAUACUUUUAUUAAAAUUGAUAUUUUUAAUAGUUAAUAUCUAUAAAAUUACUUUUAAACCAACUCUAAUAAUUAUAUCAUAACAAUAUAAUUAGAGUUAGUUUAAAAAUGAUUUCAAAAAUAUUAAAAAAAAGUUUGAAAUGAUAGAUGUAUUAAAAAAUUUUCUCUUUAAAAGGUUAAAAACUUAGGUAUAUUAUUUUUAUCAAUUUGAUUACUUAUAUGAAAAUUUUAAUAAAAGUAUAUAUAUUCAAUGAAACAAGACAAUUGAAAAGUUUGAAAUGACAAUGAAAUAAUCUAAAAAAAAAGCAUUACAACAAAAUCAUUCCCAUAAUUACUUAACAAAUAAGUCACUUAAUUCACAUAAUUACUUAACAGAUAAGUUACUUAAAAGAUGUCAAUAAAUAAUACAAAGAGCAAAUAUUGUUUUAUUUAAAAAAUUAAAAAUGAAUAAAAAUAACAAAUUUAAAAACUGAAUUGAAAAACAAUCAUUUUUUUUCUAAAAAAUUAAAAGAAAAUUUAAAAAUUUAAAAAUUAACAAAAGUAAAAAAAAAAUACAGAUUAACACCUCGUAUACACUGCCCACAUGCCAUUAAUUAUCUAAACAAUAUUAAAAACUAAUAAUUAAAAAAUAAAACUAGAACUACGUUUGAAAAAAAAGUAAAGAAAUGUAUAAUACUUAUAUAUUUGUACGUCAUUUGGAAAAAAGAAUUAAUCAAAGUAUAAUAUUUAAAUAUUUGUACGGCAUUUUGGAAAAAAGAAUUAAUAGAAGUAUCAUAUUUUAUUUUAAUGAAAUAUCUAUCAUCAUCUCGUAUCUAAUUCCUAAAUUCUCAAUUUCAUCGUGACCAAUCCUUUUUCUACCUCCUCACCAUCUCCCAUCUCUCCUCUAUUUUCCAAUAUUAUUCUUUUCCCAUAUAAAUUGUUCAUAGUUUAACAACUUCUAUGAGAAUUUAUUUUGUAAGAAGAGGAAGGAUAGCUUGGAUUUGGUAACGAGGAGACCAAGGUUCCAACUGGAGUGAGUUUCAAUUAUUAUUUUUCUUUCAAUUGCAGAAUUGAAACCACGGUCAUAAAUAACAGAAUGCAUUUUCUUUUGUACGUUUGAAAAACGCAUUUUGGUUGGGUUCUAAAUUUUAUAAUCUGUGUUCAGUUGAGUCGGCAGUUCUGCUCACCAAUACGAUGAUAUAUCGGGGAACAAUCUUUUAUGAACCCACCUAUUCCAAUGUCCAAAAAUAGUAAACAUUUUGGACAAACCCUAACCUAUAUACCCUUGUUAAAGAAUUAACAAAAGUUUUUUAUGAGUAAUGAGAAACUACAGCACUGUUUCGCGUGUCGCUUACGUAUGAUUAACAAGACCAACAUUUUCAACUCGUUUUUCCUGUAAAGGCUUUUUAUUCAACUAUUGGGGGUGGGUUUUUUAUGACUAUUUUAAGAAAACGAAUCUGUUCAUAUUAUCACUUACCAGCCAAUGCCAGUAUCUUCAUCAAAAUCUCAAGAUAUUAAUAUCGUUCAUCUCGAAUUUCUACAGCAAAACUGAACCUUUUCCUUCAAUUCCAUCUACAUCUCCUCACUUGUCAACAUCCUGGGCGUAUAAUGUCAUACAAGCAUGUUUAAUAAGGAAAGCAGUAUUCAAAAACACGCUACAACGAGGCAGUUAGGUAGCUCGAAAAUCAAGAAAAAUACGUAAUUUUUGUAUUAGCAUCUCCCGAGUACCAAAAACGGGCUUCCCAGAGAUGAUCCAGUCCUUCUCCAGAAGAUUUGCUUUGGCACCAGCCGACAUUUCAUCUUGGAAUGCAGAGACUAUUUGGUAGAUCGAAGUCUUGAGAACGUCAGCUAUAGCAUAAGCUUUUGAAUUCACUGGGCCACUUCUUUUUUUACCAGCUGCAACAUCUACCCUUCCACUAUUCACAGUUGCCCAUUUGAUACCAGCAGGUCCCAGCAACUGAUUUGGGGGUUGCAGGUUUGUUUUUUUUCCCAUGAAAUUUUCAACAGCCAGAAGGCAGGAUAGAAGUGUUGAAACCACAGCAGCGUUACUCCCGGAAAGCUGAGCAACCCCAAACUUGUCUUCUUUACGUGAAGAGGCAGUCAGUGAAGCAACACUCCUUGAACACCAUGCAUAUAGCUGCAUUUAAGCAAACAAAUGCUUUUUAAUAUGUUAUCCACAAAUUCUGGAAAUCAAUAUAAUAUUAGGGUAUUAUAAUUAUCAUCAUGUUAAAACUGCAACUGGUAUGGGCUCGUAAUAGUUUUCAUACAACAGUAAUGCGCCUAAAAUAUUAUUGAAAAUAGGAAUAUUAGGUUAGUGUAUCAUACCACCAUAGACAUUUUAAGUUUUCCCUCAAUAUAAGGACCUACUUUAAUGUGCAAACUCCCAUUUUUAAGGCAGUAGUUUGAGUUUAAAACAAGAUGAAACUUCUGGGUGUUUGAUAAUCAGUGUUAUGUUACAACUUAAGAAGAGAGUUUAGAGUCUUUAAAUCAUGAUUUUUCUUUCAAUCUAAAUAUUUCUAUUUAUAACGAGGUACAUUUGUCACCAUACUCCUAGCAACUUUGCUUGUUUUGGUUCCAUAACCUAAAAAAUAAGUUUUUCCAACCAUAGUCCAUACCAAGGAAAAAAAAUGAACAUUAAACAGUGAAGCUGAAAGACAUUGUAGAAAUGCUAAUGCUAGGCCAUGAAAAAACUUCUAGUGAAGUUCAAUAUUCAGUGUAAACACAAAUGCCCAAAGUUUGCAGGUUAUACGGAGGGGAAAAACGGUUGGUUUUUAGCUUCAUAUAAACUAUAAAUAUAAUUAAGUUAUACAUGUACCUGGAAGUUGUACAGUUCUUCCACGUUCUUCAAAUCGGACCGUGCAUCCGUGGGGGACAACAGCUGAUUUGAUAAUUGAGUAGCUUUGUCAACAGAAUUUCCUGAGCCUUCACCUAAUUUAGUUGCAAGGUGUUCCAACGGCUUCAAGCACACAGCAACUACUCUUUUGUAAGUUUCACCGGUUUCUUCAAAAAACCCAGCACGCCUCCAAGUGUCAACAUUGUUCUCGCAAACCAUGCACAGAUCAAGAUGUGCAAGAUAUCUUAGAAGCGAUGUAGGAUUAGUCUCCUCCAAGGCUGAAAGGAGAUGCUCACUUGGAUUUGUUUCUGCUGCCGCCGAUCCUUUUGGAGGUGCAAAUAUGGACCUCUUAGUAUGCAAAACCUGUGUAGCAUAUUCAACCAAAACAUAAACUUCAGCAUUCGAUAACAACGAUGUCCUUCAAAAGGCUAGGGGAUAUAAAUGCUUAUAAAACACCUCAUACAAUUCAAAAUCCCUACUUGUCGUAUAUGUCUCUAACAGUUACACAGGCGACAUUAUACAGGUUUCAUUUUGGAUAGUUAAGAUAAAACUAUACUCAAAAUUGUUUUAACACGUCCUGAACAUUAUACAUAACAAGGUAAGUUGUACAAAACGAACCAAAAUCCAAUGUACACGAUAGAGAUCCCAAAUUCCAAAACAUGACAACAGGUUGAACAAGUUAGACACCAAGGCAAACAUAACAAUAAAACCUAAAACGGAAAAAAUGCAUGAGCAGACAGGAUCACUUUCUCCUGAGCAUAUCAACAAACAUGUAGAGGUCAUAAGUUCUAGAAAAACUCACCCAAUGCAAAUGAUGAGUCAACUCCCAGGAGAAAAAGAUAACAAAAGUGGCAGCAAGAGAGGAUAUCUGCUCCACGAAAAAUCUUGGGGUGGCGACCGCGUACUUAAACGGAUGCGGGAGAAGCUCCAACAAAACAGCGGAUAUAACGGAAGCAAGAAAGGAAAGCUUAAAAGCUUUUCGAGCAGCGGAAGGAACGCCCAUCUUGAAGCUGAAAAAGGGAGGACGCUGCUCCCACAAGAAGCAAGAUAUCAGUACGUAUAAAGAUUAUGAAUUUGUUAAUAACAGGAAAGAGAGUGAGAGACCUGGAUGAUGGGGAAGUGGAGGAGCCAUCGGCGCUGGAAAAGGUAAUGAGAAGCGAAAAGGGAGCCGGUGAGGAAGCCCCGGAGGACUGAUCGGGGGAGAGUGGAGGAGGUGAGGGCGGUGGCGGGGAGGGAGAGGGCGGCGGAGAAGGNNNNNNNNNNNNNNNNNNNNNNNNNNNNNNNNNNNNNAAGGAGAGGGUGGGGGAGAAGAGGAGGUUGGAGGAGAGGAAGACGAUGAAGGAGAAGAAAGGGUAGUGAGGUCGAGUGAAGGGAAAGCAGAGAAAAUGAAGGAAGACGAUAGCUGAUGAAAUGGAUUGCCAGAUCAAGAAACUCAUCAAUCGGUUCUUCACCACCAACUCCAACCUUCCUCUGCUCCCAGACAUCAUCCUUCACAAACAAUCACCUUUUUCUUUCUCUUCUUUUAUUCUCUCAAUGCUUCAAAUUCCACACUCUCUCACUCCCUCGCUCCCCUCUUCUUCCCUUUGCAGACUCUAUUUCUUUCAAGGGAGCAAAGACUCAGUCGUUUCUUAGGUCAGUUUAAAUUUUUGAAUUUUUUUUAACUAUAAUCUUUAGCUUACGCCCGGUUGCCCUUCUCAUUGGAUAAUAACUUUGUUAAAAUUCUAAUUAAUUUUAAGCUUUCAAUGGGUUGGGUUCCGCGGGCUCAAAUCAUACUCGGCCCAAACAAUACGUAAUCCACAACUGAAAUUGUAGUUAAAAUAUUAUAUUAUAUCAUGUAAUCACAAGUUCAUAUUUUUCUCAUAAUUUUUAAUAAUUUUAUCAUUUACACAACAUGUAUCAUUUAAAUAAAACCACAUAUCAAUUUAAUAUAUAAAGUAAUAUUCAUUUUACAUUUAUAAGAAACAUUCCUAUACAAUUUAUUAGAGAGACAGUAGAAAACAAAUGACAUUCUUUUCAUAAAUCCAGACUUCAAAAAUUACAUUAAAAAAUUAUUAUAUUUAAAAACAUAUUAAUAACCAAAAUGACCUAGAAAUAGAAUGAAUUAUGCUAUAAAAAUUUUACUAAGCACGUUCAAAAAAUGAGUGAUUGAUAAGAAAUAAUAUAUUUGAUUAUAAUUUAUCUUAUUUAAUUUUUUAUAAUUGAUUAUAUUUUAAAUAAUUGAUAUAUUCUUUUCUUAAUUAUUAUAAGUUGGUUAUAUAUAUUCUAUAUAUUAUAUGUUGAUUACGUUUUCAACAUCAAUAUAAAUUAAAUAAAACCCUAAAAUGAUGACACUUUUUAUUAAAUUUAUUUUCUACAUAAAAAAUACACGUGUUUAUAUUUUUUCAUGUGAAAAAAAAUAAAAAAAGCAUUAUUAUUAUUAUUAUUAAAAUUAUGAAAUUAAAUUUACUUUUUUUUAUAAUUUUAUUAUAAGUAUUUUUUAGUAUUUUUUAAUUUUUUAUCGUAAAUGAUUAUUUUAAUUAAAAAAAAACAAUCCAUUUUAAAAAACGAUAAAAAAUAGUUAUUUAAAAGAUAAAUAAUUAUCUUAAUUUGAAAAAAUAUUUAAAAAAUAAAAUUGAAAAUAACAUAAAUAAUUUUUUUAUAUAAUAGUAUAAAUUAAUCAGGAAAAGAUACACUUGAAAAUAUGCUAAUUCAAAUUAAUUUGUUACAUUUAAAUUGUAAAACCCCUGAAAUAGUUAGGGUUUCUGAAUUAUGAAGAUGGUAGCAAAAGAAUGCUCUCCUCAGUCACUCUGUUUCUUUUUCUCUGACGAAAUGGCAAUUAUCAUCUCCAAACGCCUCUUUACCCUCCGCGUCUGUUAUUCCCUAAUUCCAUUCACGCGGCCACAAACUUCUCUCCCCCUCACGCGCCUCCUACUCCACGCGCGCCCGUCCUCCACCCAGCCAUCGAGAACCCCAUCGGAGAAACAAUUCGAGACGUGGGUGCAGGCCCUGAAACCGGGCUUCACCCCCUUCGACGUUGCCGAGGCCCUGCAGGCCCAAUCAGACCCGGACCUGGCCCUCGAUAUCUUCCGCUGGACCGCGCAGCAGCGCAACUACAAGCACACUAGCCAAACCUACCUCCUCAUCAUCAAACAUCUAAUCGCCGGCCGCCGCUACCGCCACGCCGAAACCCUGAUAGAGGAGGUCAUUGCCGGCGCCUGCCACGACGUCUCCGUCCCUCUCUACAACUCUAUCAUUCGAUUCUGCUGCGGUCGCAAAUUCCUCUUCAAUCGCGCCUUCGAUGUCUACAAGAAGAUGCUUAAUUCCAACGAUUGUAAACCUGACCUCGAAACCUAUUCCCUUUUGUUCAACUCGCUGCUUCGGAGGUUCAAUAAGUUGCAUGUUUGUUACGUGUAUCUGCACGCAGUUAGGUCUUUGACUAAGCAAAUGAAGGCUUCUGGUGUUAUUCCUGAUACCUUUGUAUUGAACAUGAUCAUCAAGGCUUAUGCCAUGUGCUUGGAGGUGGAUGAGGCGGUUCGGGUUUUUCGCGAAAUGGGGUUGUAUGGCUGUGAGCCUAACGCUUAUAGUUAUGGCUACCUUGCCAAGGGGUUGUGUGAGAAAGGGAGGGUGAGUCAGGGUUUGGAGUUUUAUAGGGAGAUGAGAGUGAAGGGUCUUGUGCCUAGUACUAGUACUUACGUUAUAAUUGUGUGUAGUCUUGCGAUGGAGCGAAGGUUUGAGGAUGCCAUUGAGGUUGUGUUUGAUAUGUUGGGGCAGUCUAGGUCCCCUGAUCAUCUCACUUACAAGACUGUUUUGGAAGGGUUGUGUCGUGAGGGAAGGGUCGAUGAUGCUUUUGAACUGCUUGAUGAAUGGAAGAAGAGGGAUGCUUCCAUGGGUGAGAAGAUGUACGUAAGUUUGUUGGACGGGUUGCAUUUUUCGUGCCGGGAGUAGGUUUUUUGCUAAUGCCUUUGCUUGAGGUAGCAUAAGAUGCAUAUAACGCUGCUUUUGUUGGAGUAUAACUUGUUAAUCUCCUGCUCUUAUGAGGAAGCUGAUUCUUUUGAAUGAGUGCUAAUGCAGAUAAAUAAUUGUAUUUGCUUGGAGAAUUGCUCUCAACAUCUUUUGGACUAAUUUAAUUUGCAAAGUGAAUGGAGGGGGCACCUAAGUAGGUGUUAGUUCUAUAAACACUGAUAUUGAUGAUAAGGUGGCGCAAGCUUCUUUUAUGAUAAAAUGUUGCUUCUGAGCACGCUGAAUGGACUAGACCACAGCAUCGUAAAUCCCGAUGUUCAAUUUCACCCAAUGUUGUUAUGCAACCAUGCAGAAGUUGCUCGUGGGUAGUUUGCCGUAGCGGAUGAGUAUCUUAUGGUAUUGUGCAAAAAAACCAAAGCUACCUGAUAUUCAUCUGAUUGUUCUUUGUUGUUAACUUCUUGCCCUUAGUUCAUUAUUUUGUUUUCUCCAAUAAUUAAUCUUCAAUAGAUGUUAGCUAAAAGUACUACAGUUGCUAGCAUUUGUUUGUAUUAGUUACAGAUAUUUAUUUUUUUAGUCCUAAUUCUCCAUAGCAACCCUACUGGUCUUGAUGGCAUAAGGGAGGAAAUUAUAUUGAUCUUCUGUAUUAAAUUGAACAACUCAAUUAUUAAAUUCAUAAGAAUACAUGUUCUUGUAUUUCUAAUUGUUGGUGGAUUAGUUAGUUUCAUACCUUAUUAGUAAUAGUCAGUAGCAGCACCCAAGAUCAUGGUGCAAGAUUUUUAUUCAGUAAUUUUAGUGUAUUUCAUGAAUCGGAUUCAAUAAAAUUGAUACUCGCAUGUGUAAUUCAAUAAUUUUUUUGCUGUUUCCUUGCUCAAUUGUUUUUCUUUUUAUCAUUAAGCAAAAUUCAAUAAAUGGUAUUGAAGACCUCUUCUCGAGGAACAUUUGAAAAUGAACGUUGAAUCAAAUUUCUCACAAAUUGAUCCUCUACUCUUUGAUAUUUGAUCUUGAUCUUUGAGCACUAUCUCUGGUUUUUUAUUUUAGUAUAUUACAUUUAUAUAAUUGAAUAAACAAAUCAGGUAACUUAUGUGUUAACGAGAAGGAUAUAUGACAUUAUUUUGCUUAAAUUAAAAGACGUUUGUGUAGGGUGGACAAAAAACAGAAGCAGAAAGGUAGACUCUAGUGAAUUUUUGCCAAUUCUCAGAUUGAAUGUAAGUUGUCAAAACUCUUAACUCACACAUCAUUAUUCGUAGCAGUAUCUCCUCCGUCAAUUGUCUUUUACACUUUAUUAAUUACAAACUAUACUCUACUGAACCGGCUGCUUGUUUAUAGCAGUAUAACUGCUUUGCUUAAGCAGGAAUAAAACAUGAAUAGAACCUAAAAUAAGAAAGCAUACUUAUAAGUGAUGUCAUAAUCCAUAAUAUGAAUUCGGUCAUGGUUUAAAUCUACCCCUUGUAUCCCUGAAAACCCCAAUACAUCCUCCUACCACGUGCUAUUUUUAAAUACAAUAUUCCACAUGGUCGAUUUGUGACGAAGUAAAAAGACAUAUCAGUUCUCAGUACCGAAAUCUAUGAAUUGCAUACUGAACACCAUAACACUUAUCCGCAAGUAAUACAAGUUGAACAAACACAUCAUAACAUUGCACGGAAAUAUUACCAGUCCAUCCAACAAUUUCUAAACAAUCACAUUCACAACAGUUAACACUCAACAUCGUGGUUCCUAAGACGUAUUAUGAACAAUGAAUAUCUGAAGGUAUCCCUACAAGACUAAAACUAACACGUAAAAAGCAGUUGAAAUUCAGAUAAUUACA